ACUGUGGGGACAGCACAGGUCUAGGACUGUGGGGACAGCACAGGUCUAGGACUGUGGGGACAGCACAGGUCUAGGACUGUGGGGACAGCACAGGUCUAGGACUGUGGGGACAGCACAGGUCUAGGACUGUGGGACAGCACAGGUCUAGGACUGUGGGACAGCACAGGUCUAGGACUGUGGGACAGCACAGGUCUAGGACUGUGGGACAGCACAGGUCUAGGACUGUGGGACAGCACAGGUCUAGGACUGGGGGACAGCACAGGUCUAGGACUGGGGGACAGCACAGGUCUAGGACUGUGGGACAGCACAGGUCUAGGACUGGGGGACAGCACAGGUCUAGGACUGGGGGACAGCACAGGUCUAGGACUGGGGGACAGCACAGGUCUAGGACUGGGGGACAGCACAGGUCUAGGACUGUGGGACAGCACAGGUCUAGGACUGUGGGACAGCACAGGUCUAGGACUGUGGGACAGCACAGGUCUAGGACUGUGCAUCCUAUAAACAGGGUUCAUACCAACAUUGGCAAGUUAAAUUCAAGUUAAAUUCAAGGACUUUCGGGGACUUUUUCAAGCAUUUCAUUGUAAUUUUCUUCAAUGUUUUAUAAUGUAUAUAAUUGUACAUACAGGGCCUAAUAUAGAACCCCGCCCCCCAAAAUAAAAACAUGCAAAAAUUGUCCAAUAGAAAGCAACCACUUCAUGAAUAAUUGUGUUUUUAGGCGUUUCCAAUGCAUGGAUAUUCAAAUUAUUAUUACAUUCUAAAAUAUGUGACAACAUUUUUCUGUGGCCUAUGUGGCUAAUGCAGGCACACUUCAUAAAGCCGUGAAUAGUGACCGCAUUUAAACCUCUUAGGAUCCCUAGUGUUCCCUUCCCGCUCAGAUCCCGUUAACGGGAUUGAUUUGACAACAUCCAGGGAAAUUGCAGUGCGCCAAAUUCAAAAACAGAAAUAAGUGUGUUCUACAUCAAAAUAAAGCUUAACUUCUUGUUAAUCCA
Molecule: long non-coding RNA, 989 nt
Organism: Oncorhynchus nerka (sockeye salmon)
Lineage: Eukaryota; Metazoa; Chordata; Actinopteri; Salmoniformes; Salmonidae
Exons: 2
Source: RefSeq, a predicted model, not a curated record